Molecule: ribosomal RNA, 228 nt
Filed under: uncultured bacterium
Lineage: Bacteria
Description: partial 16S ribosomal RNA
Rfam family: Bacterial small subunit ribosomal RNA
Source: RNAcentral
GAUCCUAGCUCAGGAUGAACGCUAGCUACAGGCUUAACACAUGCAAGUCGAGGGGCAGCAUGGUCUUAGCUUGCUAAGGCCGAUGGCGACCGGCGCACGGGUGAGUAACACGUAUCCAACCUGCCGUCUACUCUUGGACAGCCUUCUGAAAGGAAGAUUAAUACAAGAUGGCAUCAUGAGCCCGCAUGUUCACAUGAUUAAAGGUAUUCCGGUAGACGAUGGGGAUCG